GUUAUAUGGUCAAGUGAAGAAGCGCAUACGGUGGAUGCUUGGCAGUCAGAGGCGAUGAAAGACGUGGUAGCCUGCGAAAAGCUUCGGGGAGUCGGCAAACAGACUUUGAUCCGGAGAUCUCUGAAUGGGGGAACCCACCUAGGAUAACCUAGGUAUCUUGUACU
This 164-nucleotide ribosomal RNA is filed under the name Pseudomonas aeruginosa. RNAcentral's name for it is "partial 23S ribosomal RNA". It matches the Rfam family "Bacterial large subunit ribosomal RNA", at positions 1 to 159 of the family's 2925-position model. The record is from RNAcentral. Lineage: Bacteria; Pseudomonadati; Pseudomonadota; Gammaproteobacteria; Pseudomonadales; Pseudomonadaceae.